GGAGAGGUGCCUGAGUGGCCGAAAGGAACAGUUUGCUAAACUGUCGUACUGGUAACGGUACCGCGGGUUCGAAUCCCGCCCUCUCCGC
This 88-nucleotide transfer RNA is filed under the name Pedobacter jeongneungensis. Its description in RNAcentral is "tRNA-Ser". It matches the Rfam family "tRNA". Rfam says of the family: Transfer RNA (tRNA) molecules are approximately 80 nucleotides in length. RNAcentral also lists the same sequence under 6 other names. Lineage: Bacteria; Pseudomonadati; Bacteroidota; Sphingobacteriia; Sphingobacteriales; Sphingobacteriaceae. The record is from RNAcentral.